AACGAACGCUGGCGGCGUGCUUAAGACAUGCAAGUCGUGCGAGAAAGUCACCUUCGGGUGGCGAGUAAAGCGGCGCACGGGUGAGUAACGCGUGGGUAACCUGCCCUCGGGUCUGGGACAACACCGGGAAACUGGUGCUAAUACCGGAUGAGACCACGAAGUCUCCGGACUUUGCGGAAAAAGAUGGCCUCUUCUUGAAAGCUAUCGCCUGAGGAUGAGCCCGCGUCCCAUUAGCUUGUUGGUGAGGUAACGGCUCACCAAGGCUCCGAUGGGUAGCUGAUCUGAGAGGAUGAUCAGCCACACUGGAACUGAGACACGGUCCAGACUCCUACGGGAGGCAGCAGUCGGGAAUUUUGGGCAAUGGGCGCAAGCCUGACCCAGCAACGCCGCGUGAGGGAUGAAGGCCCUCGGGUCGUAAACCUCUGUCAGGAGGGAAGAACGUCGUCGGGUGAAUAAUCCAGCGAUCUGACGGUACCUCCAAAGGAAGCACCGGCUAACUCCGUG
RNAcentral lists this ribosomal RNA (504 nucleotides) under uncultured bacterium. RNAcentral's name for it is "bacterial SSU rRNA". It matches the Rfam family "Bacterial small subunit ribosomal RNA", at positions 29 to 507 of the family's 1533-position model. The record is from RNAcentral.